Long non-coding RNA from Erinaceus europaeus (western European hedgehog), 943 nucleotides. RefSeq lists it as uncharacterized. The record is from RefSeq and is a predicted model, not a curated record. NCBI's taxonomy places the organism in Eukaryota, Metazoa, Chordata, Mammalia, Eulipotyphla, Erinaceidae. The transcript has 5 exons.
UUCACCAGUGACAGGACUGAGGGGGGGAGCAGCUGCCCAGGCUGUGAAGCUAAUGAAAACACAUAUGGGGGGAGACACGGUGGGGGCAUGUUCAAAACAUGGCAGUAGAACGCUGUGCACUUGGGAGCUGCAAAGGGACCAGGCCAACUCCUCCUCCACAACCCCACGGACUGUGUGCUGAGCUCUCCUUUACAGAGAAACCAGGACAAGCUGUCAGAGGUCCCUGUGUAUGGAAUGGGUUAUUUAUAAGAAGACACAGAGGACAAAUCCAUGCAAAGCCCAGUCACCAGGAAUCAUACGUCAUGUUUUCAGAAGGAUCCCAGAUUCUCAAGCAUCAUUAAAAUCACUGCAAAGGAGAAAACAAAGGCUCCGAAGGAAAAUGAUAAAAGGAACCCAGAGGAAGUGGACUGUGAAGCAACAACCAGAAGUAUCCCAAGAUUCAGUAGGUCCCCUCUCGGAGUCAGUUCAUUAUUAUCUGGAAGCCAGACAAUCCAUCUUCCCUGCCUGUCUCUGCUCUAGACUCAGAAGGCCUCUGAGGAGGUGCUUAGAACAUGAAGGUCACUGGGAAGGUUGACCAGAGACCCAGGAUGAGAAGGAAAUGUGUCACUAAGUCUUCAGCUGCUUUCCUUUAGGUUGCCACACCAAUGGCUUUCUGAAAACAUCUCCUGCAAAGCCAGCUCCACAGAACUCCCAUCUUCAAUAAGAAACUAGAGCCUCAUCCAAAACCAAUGACAGCAAUGAUUAACAGUUUAAGGAGAACAAAAUGAACAAUAAUCUGCUAACUUGCAAUUAUAUUUUCAGACAUUUUCAUAAUUUACUAAACUAAUUUCCAAGGCUGAGCUAUAUUCAUAUUAAAAAACCACUAUGUCUAACAGAAUUGCAUAUAUUUUUGUGGCUUAUGAUACAAUAACAUACUCUGUAACUUGUUUCAUUUUACUCUUAA